This 497-nucleotide ribosomal RNA is filed under the name uncultured bacterium. RNAcentral describes it as "partial 16S ribosomal RNA". It matches the Rfam family "Bacterial small subunit ribosomal RNA", at positions 28 to 507 of the family's 1533-position model. The record is from RNAcentral.
GAUGAACGCUGGCGGCGUGCCUAAUACAUGCAAGUCGAGCGAACGGACGAGAAGCUUGCUUCUCUGAUGUUAGCGGCGGACGGGUGAGUAACACGUGGAUAACCUACCUAUAAGACUGGGAUAACUUCGGGAAACCGGAGCUAAUACCGGAUCAUAUUUUGAACCGCAUGGUUCAAAAGUGAAAGACGGUCUUGCUGUCACUUUUAGAUGGAUCCGCGCUGCAUUAGCUAGUUGGUAAGGUAACGGCUUACCAAGGCAACGAUGCAUAGCCGACCUGAGAGGGUGAUCGGCCACACUGGAACUGAGACACGGUCCAGACUCCUACGGGAGGCAGCAGUAGGGAAUCUUCCGCAAUGGGCGAAAGCCUGACGGAGCAACGCCGCGUGAGUGAUGAAGGUCUUCGGAUCGUAAAACUCUGUUAUUAGGGAAGAACAUAUGUGUAAGUAACUGUGCACAUCUUGACGGUACCUAAUCAGAAAGCCACGGCUAACUACGUG